Molecule: long non-coding RNA, 474 nt
Organism: Eupeodes corollae
Lineage: Eukaryota; Metazoa; Arthropoda; Insecta; Diptera; Syrphidae
Exons: 2
Source: RefSeq, a predicted model, not a curated record
UGUAAGUAAAUAAUAAAUAAAAUUGUCAAAAACAUACAAAUAAGUUAUUUCUAACCUCUAGACCUACAAAUAAUUCUAAGCAGUUGGAUUUGCUGGUAGCUUUUAUGGAAACCAAUCCAAACAUAGCAAAAAAUUACUUGCCGACGAGCCAAGCCAAAGCCAAAUCCAAAAUUAUUUGGAAGGCUUUGACUGAUAAGCUAAAUGCAUGCGGUCCUCCAGAGAAACCAAUGGAUGGUUGGAAAAGUGUAUGGAAAGAUUUUGGGUACAAUCUUAAGGGCAAAAUGCGUGGAAAUUUGCUUACUUACGUUGAACUUGGAAGGCUCAUUGGGUUCGAUGAAUCUCUUAAAACUCUUCUUUUUAUACGCAUUUCCUCUUCUUUGUUAGUUUGGGAUUCAUCUUCGCUUUCAAGGAAAUAGUCGCAGUGAAAAAACAUUUUAUAGAAUUUAUGCAAAUUACAUUUAUUUUUGAAACUUC